AACGAACGCUGGCGGCAUGCCUAACACAUGCAAGUCGAACGAAGCCUUCGGGCUUAGUGGCGCACGGGUGCGUGACACGUGGGAAUCUGCCCUUCGGUUCGGAAUAACAGUUAGAAAUGACUGCUAAUACCGGAUGAUGACGUAAGUCCAAAGAUUUAUCGCCGAAGGAUGAGCCCGCGUAGGAUUAGGUAGUUGGUAGGGUAAUGGCCUACCAAGCCGACGAUCCUUAGCUGGUCUGAGAGGAUGAUCAGCCACACUGGGACUGAGACACGGCCCAGACUCCUACGGGAGGCAGCAGUGGGGAAUAUUGGACAAUGGGCGAAAGCCUGAUCCAGCAAUGCCGCGUGAGUGAUGAAGGCCUUAGGUUGUAAGCUCUUUACCAGGGAUGAUAAUGACAGUACCUGGAGAAUAAGCUCCGGCUAACUCCGUGCCAGCAGCCGCGGUAAU
RNAcentral lists this ribosomal RNA (447 nucleotides) under uncultured bacterium. RNAcentral's name for it is "bacterial SSU rRNA". It matches the Rfam family "Bacterial small subunit ribosomal RNA", at positions 29 to 524 of the family's 1533-position model. The record is from RNAcentral.